RNAcentral lists this transfer RNA (53 nucleotides) under Dictyocaulus viviparus (bovine lungworm). RNAcentral's name for it is "tRNA-Gln". The record is from RNAcentral. Lineage: Eukaryota; Metazoa; Nematoda; Chromadorea; Rhabditida; Metastrongylidae.
UCUUUUUUAAAAGGUAGCGUUUUAUAAAGCUUUGACCUUUAAAAAAGGGGGAA